RNAcentral lists this ribosomal RNA (372 nucleotides) under uncultured bacterium. Its description in RNAcentral is "partial 16S ribosomal RNA". It matches the Rfam family "Bacterial small subunit ribosomal RNA", at positions 355 to 741 of the family's 1533-position model. The record is from RNAcentral.
UGGGGAAUAUUGGACAAUGGGGGCAACCCUGAUCCAGCCAUGCCGCGUGAGUGAUGAAGGCCUUCGGGUUGUAAAGCUCUUUUGGCGGGGACGAUGAUGACGGUACCCGCAGAAUAAGCCCCGGCUAACUUCGUGCCAGCAGCCGCGGUAAGACGAAGGGGGGCUAGCGUUGUUCGGAAUUACUGGGCGUAAAGCGAGUGUAGGCGGUUGCCGUAGUCAGGUGUGAAAGCCUUGAGCUCAACUCAAGAAAUGCACUUGAUACUGGGUGACUAGAGGACCGGAGAGGGAUAGUGGAAUUCCCCAGUGUAGUGGUGAAAUACGUAGAGAUUGGGAAGAACACCAGUGGCGAAGGCGGCUAUCUGGACGGUUACU